Molecule: ribosomal RNA, 249 nt
Filed under: uncultured bacterium
Lineage: Bacteria
Description: partial 16S ribosomal RNA
Rfam family: Bacterial small subunit ribosomal RNA
Source: RNAcentral
UUUGAUGGCGACCGGCGCACGGGUGAGUAACACGUGUCCAACCUGCCGAUGACUCGGGGAUAGCCUUUCGAAAGAAAGAUUAAUACCCGAUGGCAUAGUUCUUCCGCAUGGUAGAACUAUUAAAGAAUUUCGGUCAUCGAUGGGGAUGCGUUCCAUUAGGUUGUUGGCGGGGUAACGGCCCACCAAGCCUUCGAUGGAUAGGGGUUCUGAGAGGAAGGUCCCCCACAUUGGAACUGAGACACGGUCCAA